CUUCCUCUGCCAGUGCGGCUCCGAGGGAAAGGGAGCGGCCAGAGCGGCCCCGCCCGGCUUUUAGGCAGGCCACACUGCCUCAGGGUGCAGCAUUCUCAUUCAAAAUAAGGCUUAAGAAAGCUUUCGCUUUCCUUCGAUACAAGUGGCUUGUUUGCACAGUUGGCUAAGACUCCUCUAGGCCCAUCAUGGGAAGGACCAUUUUCAGUCAUUCCGUCCACUCCAUCGGCAGUUAAUGUAGUGAAAAUAGACUCAUGGAUUCAUCACACUUGGCUGAAGCCUUGGAUACCUCCUGAGAAAAGUCAUGGACCCUCCACUCCACAGCCUGAAGUUCCAGGAGACAACCCUUCAUAUCUCUGAGAGCUCUUAGAAGAUCUGCAUCUGCUUUUCCAACAAGAUCCUCAGGGAAGUAACCACUCAUAAGUCUAAUUUAUAUCCUGGCAUUAACAGGACUAUAACCCUCAACUUUGCUAUAUUUCAAACUCCGAUUAUCUUUUUCAUAGUGGGAAGGGAACCUGUCUCUUCCUAGGAAAAAUGCUGCUAUUUUGUAAACCAGUUAAGUGUUGUUUUAAACAUUGAAGUCAGGAAUCAAUCAAACAAAGGGCUAAAGACCUUCAAGAACCUGGCUCUGUUCUCUCCUAGGCUCAUUUAUAACCAUUUAUAUUUGUUGGCCUCUGGGCUUUUCAUCUUUAACCACCUUGUCACAUUUGUUUCUUAUAGAACCGUAAGGUCACAAAUAAUCCUGCCUCUGGAACCUCGGACGUCCUUGGCUCAUGGGUGCUAUCGUGGACCUCUAGAUCAACCUGCACCCCUGAAAGGCUCCCUUCUGGAGGAAACCUCAACUGCAGGGCCCCUUCUACGCCCCAUUUCAGCAGGAAGUAAUUAAAGAGGAUCGAGAUGCAAUUUUGCCUUGAAAGACAUGGCCACAGCAUUUGGCAUCUCCUCUCAUCAGAUGUGAAACGUAUUUCCCCCAUCCUCAAAUUUGGCCUUGCCUUGUGAAGAACUUUGACAAAAAGAAUGUGCAGAAGUGACAUUGUGUGAUACCUGAAGCUAGGCCUUGAAAGGUCUCCAGGCUUCCAGUUUGUUGUAUUGGAGUGCUGGCCUGAAACCAAUACAAAAGGAAGCCAGUCUAGCCUCCUAGAAGAUGAGAAAGCACACAAAAGCAAAACAAGAUGCUCCAGUGAACAGCAAGCACCAAUUGCCAGACCAUUUUGGACUUUGCAGGUUGAACGAGACAUCUACGUUGGUGGUCUUGGGGACUCCUGCAGGUCAGUAGUCCCCUGGCAGACGGGCCGGACCCCGACAAUACAGUGAAAGACAGAUGCAGCCGGACGUUGUGGCUCACAUCUGUAAUUCAAGCACUUGGAGACCAAGACGGGCGGAUCACCUGAGGUCGGGAGUUCAAGACCAGCCUGACCAACAUGGUGAAACCCCCUCUUAGAAAAAAGAAAGACUGGUUAAGGGAGAUACUGCAAAAAUCUAGUCCAAAGCCGAUGGAAGUUUGAACUAGUUUGGCAGAGGUUAUAAUAAUAAUCAGAGUUAAACAAACCAGUUUGGCCCAGCACGGUGGCUCACGCCUGUAAUCCUAGCACUUUGGGAGGCCGAGGUGGGUGGAUCACCUGAUGUCAGGAGUUCAAGACCAGCCUGGCCAUCAUGUUGAAACCCCAUCAGAAGAAGAAGAAAGAAGAAAGAGGGAUGAGGAGGAGGAGGAGGAGGAGGAGGAGGAAGAGAAAAGGAAAGAAAAAGAAAAAAAGAAAGCAUUCUUUUAGGCCUGGCAUGGUGGCUCACGCAUGUAAUCCAAGCACUUUGGAGGCCAAGGCAGGCAGAUCACCUGAGGUCGGGAGUUCAAAACCAGCCUGACCAACAUGGUGAAACUCCGUCUUUAAGAAAAAAAAAAAAAAAGACAGAUGCAGAGAUGCCUAUAAAUUCCAGCUUGUCUUUACUCACUUCACCUCUGUUCCAUGACCAGUUCUUCUUUCCAUCUCUGGCAAUGCUGACCAACUGUCACCCCAGACACACCACCAGACACAGAGGCAACAGCUUUCCUUGUACUUCCCCACCAUCUCUCCUUCACAGUACAACUUCAGCACCUGGACGUGCUUAGCUUCCCAGAUUUUCCUAUAAGCUACUGGUUCUCUCAUACCAGUGUGUGAAAAGGACCACUGAGUGGUUUCUUUAUCUGAUUCUUCAACUCCUCCUUUUGGACAUCUCUUGAAAUGUGUCCUCACGUUUGUAUAAGGUCUUUUUUUAUUAUGGAUUCCAUAUAUCAUAGUAGUUUUGUUUCCCAGUUGAAUGCUGACAGAUACAGUAACACAACUAUUCAGAAAUGAGAUGUUAAGAAUGAGAUUUUGCUCUGGCAUUCUAUGUGAUCACAGUUUUAUUUUAAGGAUCCCAUAUUAGUUUGCUUUUCUAGCACUAAUAUGGUGCUAGAAAAUGGUGGUGCUGGAAAAUGUCCUUACGUUAUCAAGUACACACAACUCACUCAUUCUUCACCUGGCAUGGAGAAACAGAGGGUAAGAAAAAUCAUUAAAAUCAUUCCUGCCCCUCACUUGCUCCAGUUAUGAAUCCAAGAGGACUCAGAGUAUUUUUACAAAAUAGAAUGGGGGGGCCAGGCGUGGUGGCUCACACCUGUAAUCCCAGCACUUUGGGAGGCCAAGGCGGGUGGAUCAUGACGUCAAGAGAUAGAGACCAUCCUGGUCAACAUGGUGAAACCCUGUCUCUACUAAAAAUACAAAAAAUUAGCUGGGCAUGGUGGCGCAUGCCUAUAAUCCUAGCUACUCAGUAGGCUGGGGCAGGAGAAUUGCCUGAACCCAGGAGACAGAGGUUGUGGUGAGCUGAGAUCGCGCCACUGCACUCCAGCCUGGGUAACAAGAGCGAAAUUCCGUCUCAAAAAAAAAAAAAAAAAAAAAUAGCAUGGGGGAUUACGAUACUAUCUAAAAAGGUAAAUAUCUCCUAUACAAAAAUUAUAUUGAGAAAUGAUAAUUGUGGACAUUUUUUAAGACGAGAAAUAGAGAAAACUAACACAUGAUAUUUUGAUGAGAGAAAAAAAUGUUUAUGGCAUUUGAAGGAAAAUAUGUCAGAAAUAAUUUAAAUAGGUUUCAAUGCCCAUCAAAAAUACCAAAAUACCAGAAGAAGAGUUUGUAGGCAAAUGUAACCUUGAGAGGUAUAAAUUAGUAAAAAAGAAAAAAUUUUCUGUAAGACAAAUUCAAAUGUGUCAGGAUGAAAUAAAUGCUAGGCAGUCCAUGCUUCAUAAAAUUGAGCUUUGGACUUCUGAAAGUAUGAGAUGCACAAAAAAUUAUGAUAUUUGUGGUAUACUCCAUGGUAACUACAAGGAGUCUGAAAUUAUAAAAAAAAAAAAAGGCUACGAGACUACAAUUCUGAAAUAUAUAUAUACACAUAUAUAUGUAUAUAUGUUUUUAAGUUUGAUGGAUCAAGUCAAACAAACAUAUGCUAUUGGUUUUCACUUAUUUUAGGUUCUAAAUACUUAACCCUUGGCAAAAGCAGUUGCAAGAUCUAUACUAGUGGUUCUCCAGAGUGACAAGAAAUCACUCUGGGACUUGCUAAAAAUAAACCAUCUGUACUUAUACCCAGAGAUUCUGAUUCAAUAGAUCUUGAACAGAACCAGGAAAUUUGUACUUUCUCAAAAUAUGCUAGGUUAUUCUGACUUAGACAGUCCAAGGUCACACCUUGGGAAACAGUUAUCUGGACCGGACAGAAUCGAAUUCCACUUAUGUAUCAAAAUACAUAAAUGUUAUUUAAAAGUUUUAAAAUAAAACAUAAGGUCCACCAAGCCACUUUGCUAAAGACAAAGAACACUCAACCAUACCAUUUGCUUUUGUCCCCAAGGAAAAUGCAUGUAAGUUUAUUAUUUGUGUGUGUGAAUGUGUGCAUCAACAUCCUGUGAUGAUGACCUUGAUGUGGUUGGCAGCUGUGCCUCAGGCGUGAAAGCGUGAGGGUCUCGAGUUUGCUAGCAGGCCCAGGAAGGUGGCUCCAGACAAAAGCAACAUCUUCUUUCAUUGUGUAUUGUUCAUUCCAAAAA
Long non-coding RNA from Callithrix jacchus (white-tufted-ear marmoset), 4036 nucleotides. RefSeq lists it as uncharacterized. NCBI's taxonomy places the organism in Eukaryota, Metazoa, Chordata, Mammalia, Primates, Cebidae. The record is from RefSeq and is a predicted model, not a curated record.